RNAcentral lists this ribosomal RNA (253 nucleotides) under uncultured bacterium. RNAcentral describes it as "partial 16S ribosomal RNA". It matches the Rfam family "Bacterial small subunit ribosomal RNA", at positions 524 to 776 of the family's 1533-position model. The record is from RNAcentral.
UACAGAGGUCUCAAGCGUUGUUCGGAUUCAUUGGGCGUAAAGGGUGCGUAGGCGGUGAUGUAAGUCAGGUGUGAAAUCUCGGGGCUCAACCUCGAAACUGCACUUGAUACUGCAUUGCUUGAGGACUGGAGAGGAGACUGGAAUUUAUGGUGUAGCAGUGAAAUGCGUAGAUAUCAUAAGGAAGGCCAGUGGCGAAGGCGGGUCUCUGGACAGUUCCUGACGCUGAGGCACGAAGGCCAGGGGAGCAAACGGG